RNAcentral lists this ribosomal RNA (353 nucleotides) under uncultured Desulfovibrio sp. RNAcentral describes it as "bacterial SSU rRNA". It matches the Rfam family "Bacterial small subunit ribosomal RNA", at positions 1029 to 1382 of the family's 1533-position model. The record is from RNAcentral. Lineage: Bacteria; Pseudomonadati; Thermodesulfobacteriota; Desulfovibrionia; Desulfovibrionales; Desulfovibrionaceae.
CCGAGACAGGUGCUGCAUGGCUGUCGUCAGCUCGUGCCGUGAGGUGUUGGGUUAAGUCCGCAACGAGCGCAACCCUAUUGCCAGUUGCUACCAGGUAAUGCUGGGCACUCGUGGUGAGACUGCCCCGGUUAACGGGGAGGAAGGUGGGGACGACGUCAAGUCAUCAUGGCCCUUACGCCUAGGGCUACACACGUACUACAAUGGCGCAUACAAAGGGCAGCGAUACCGCGAGGUGGAGCCAAUCCCAAAAAGUGCGUCCCAGUCCGGAUUGCAGUCUGCAACUCGACUGCAUGAAGUUGGAAUCGCUAGUAAUUCGAGAUCAGCAUGCUCGGGUGAAUGCGUUCCCGGGCCUU